AAUGGGCAAUGUUUGUAUAUUAUGAGACUAUUGAUAUAUGAAACUGACAUUAUUAUUAUUAUUUUUAUUUAGAUUGGAGACACAUUGGACGCCUGGCAAAAAUUCCUUUCUGUUUAUGAUUUGGUAAUGGCUUGGUGCGAAAGCAAAACAAAAUAUUUAGAAGAUCCAAUUAAUUUAAGUUCAUUAGAAGCUGCAAAACAAAAAUCCCAUGAAUUUUCGGUAAUUUAUCAUUACAACUAAAUAUUGUAUUUUAAAUUCAACAUAACAUAGAUUUAAUCACGUAGGUAUUGUAACACUUGUUUACAGGUUGCUGUGAAAUCAUGCAAACAACAAACCAAAAACCUAGCUGAAAUGAGCAAAGAAUUGGAUAUUAUUGCCUUAUCAACUGAUGUUGGACAGCUGCCUGAAAAAUUAGAAGAAGCUAAUAAUGCCAAAAAUGAUGUUGAAGGAAAACUUUCAGAAAAGGUAAAUCAUAUUACUUAAAACAUUAUUAAAUAAUAAUUUGUUCAAAAUCUUUGAAUAAAAUAUAUUAUAAUAAAUUACAAUUGAUUAAAAUUAUGAAGAAUGCACUACUGCAUGAGACAUGUGAAGAAUGGGAGCAAUUUGAACGGAAAUUAAAAGAUGUUAAAUCAUUUAUUGACAAGUCUCAAAGUGCCAUAGAAUCUACUACUAAUAAAAAACGAACAUUACGUGAACAACAUGAUCUAAGAGAAAAAAUGUUGGCAGAUAUUACAAUACAAAGAAAAAAGAUUACAUUGUCUACUGAAAAAUUACAGGUUAGAUAAUGUGUAAAAUUGUCUGUUUAAAUAUGCCAUUACCUGGAUUUUUGAAUCUUAAAAAGUGGUGUACAGAAAUAAAGCAUUAAAUUAUUUUUUUGGUAAUAGUUGUAUUCUAUGAACUUGACACAAUAUAGUGAUGAAUUAUUUUAAAAUUUAAAUGUCAUAAUAAAUUUAAAACUUAAGUUGGAAUUCCUAAUAAAAACCUUUUAAAUGAAGAAAUUUGAAAAAUAAAAUAAAAAUAUAAUUAUUCAAUUUAUAUUUGUGAAAUAUGAUUGAAGUUCGGUUACAUGUGUUUUAUAAUUUUGUAAUUUUUACAAUUUUUAUCAAAAUCAAUCUUAAAAUUAAGAAAAUAAAAUAACUACAUUACAAUCAACUUUUUUAUUACUACGUACAACUUAUAAUGAACUUCGUGUUAAAUUUCAAGUGUUUCUGUGUGCAAACCUAUGCGUUUGGGUGUUUAAUGCUAAACUAGUUUUAUUAAUGGUAAUCAAAGAAACAAUUGUUAAAAUUGUUUUUCGUAUCUUUGGUUUACCAUUGUAUUAUGUCACCCAUUUACUUAGUUAACUUAUUAUAUUUUGAACAUGCACAAUUCAUAUUUAAAUGAUUUAAAAAUUCAUAUUAAAUUCUAAAAACAAUACUUUUUGGCGACAUAUUAUGGUAUGCAAAAUACUAAUACACACCUACAAUUAACGUAUAACAAAGCCAUUCAUUAUUGUAAGACUUCUUAGCUCUGCACACAAUUUAAAAAUAUUUAAAUAUUUUCCGUUUUUACAACUUAUUUGAGUACUCAAUUUAAAUAAAUCAGAUUUUCAAAUGUAGUUUAAUUGAAUAAAAAUCAGAUACUUAGUAUUAAAAUAAUACUUUAUACAAGUUCUAUUUAUGUAUCUAUAGUGUAAAUGUAGCUAUUUAAAAAUAUAAAAAUAAAAAAAUGGUUACAUUACUAUAAUCUCAGUAGUUAAAAAUAUUAAUAAGUUUUUAAAAGUACUACACUUUCUUUAUAUUGUAGGUUUUUUAACGUUUAAACUUCAGUAUUUUAAUUAAAUUUUGUAAUAAAAUAACCGUUAUUCAGUGUUCAAUUUUAAAAAUAGCAUUUUUUAAUUCAAAUUCAGACUUUAACGUAAUCUUAAAUUUUUCUGAGUGGGUAAUUCUUAUAGAAUAAAGAUACCUCUUGCAUCAGUUGCCUAAAAGCCAAAGUCAACCAGUAAUGGGUAAAAUUGGUGUGAACAAUUUAAUACACAAUGUAAAAUUUAUUUAUUGUUUUAUAUAAAAUAUUAAUUAAAAAUGUUUUAAUCUAAAAGUGUUUUAUUUUAUUAUUUAUUUUAGAUACAUUUCCGAGCUGGUUUUGGGGGCAGUGAAAACAUAGAACAUUUAUCUGAAGACAAUUUGUCUCAUCUAGAUAACUUAUAUAAAAUUGUAGAAGAACAGGCUCAUAAUUUAGAAGAUAGUCUUUCACAGCUCGAUAGAUAUCAACAAGUAAAUGCGUACUAAUGAUUUGGCAUACAACAAUAGUACCUAACUCAUAUUUGUAUUACAGGAAAUCCAACAUCUUCGGCAAAAAGUCAUAACUGCCGAGCAACAAUUAAGACUCACUCAGAGUCCAACAUAUUUACCUCAUGAUAGACAAAAAGCUCUACUAGAACAAAAUGUAAGUUUUCAUACUAAUUUUAAUUUAAGAGGUAGUUUAUAAAAAAAUUAAACAUUUCUAAAUGUUGGUCUUAUACAGUAUAUUAUAUGCUGAAUUAUACAAUUUUAAUGUAAAAUUGGCUUUCAAAAUUUAUUUGUAGAUAAUCUUAUCAGUUUAAUUUUAAUAAUUGUAGUUGGGAAGAAGGAAUUAAAGGAAAUUAGUGAGAAUAUAUUUUAUUUAUACAUUAAUUACUUAUUAAACAAUUUAAACAUUUAAAUUAUAAUUUGUAAGCAAUUAGUUGUUAUAAAAUUUAAAAUAUGUACUAAGUAAGAUAGAAUAUUAUAUAAUUUGUAAGACAAUUUCGAUGUAUACAUUAAAAAGAUACUCUUCUGAAUGAAAACAUUAAAAAAAAAACCGUUCCAUUGAUUGGAACAUUGCAGGCGUUUCAAGAACAAACACGAGUGCUGCAAAGCAAGAUUAAUUCAAGGACCGAACGAAUCAAACUGAUCAUUCAACGAGGCUCCCCGAUAUCUGACCCAUUAUUAAAUUAACUAGACAUUUAAUUGUAUUUAUUUAACUUCAUAUUCAUUCCAAAAUUCUAUUUAAGCUAUUAAAAAAAAAAAAUUCCAAAAUAAAAAUUAGUUUCUAAAGAAAUUUAUUCGGUCAUGCAGGACGUUCGAAACGCACUGGAAUCAUAUCGGCAUCGUUUGGAUUGCACUGUGAAUGCUGUACGAACGCAUAUCAAUCAUUUUAUUGGUUCCAAUCCUUUGUUGGCAUCUACGUCAUGUACAGAUCCCUUAAAUAAUCUUAAAAAUCUUCAAAAACAAACUUAUGUUAGAAAACCCCGAAUAGUUCUAAAUUCAACUGAACCAAAUCAACAAUCAAUAUUCAAAUCACGAUCACCUUCUCCAUUUUGGAUAAAAGGACAAACUUCUUUGUAUUCUGAAGUUGUCAAAUCUGGUUUUGUAUCAAGAAAUAAUAGUAGAUGCAUGAGCCCCAAAUCAAAAUCAAUAGAAGGACAUAUAAGUCGAAAAUCACAUUUUAAUUUACUUAAAACACCAUUUGUGAGAGAUAGAAGUAAAUCACCUAAAGAUAAGUGUCAAAAGAAUGAUUUUGAAAAAAGUAAAUUGUUUUCCGUGCCACCAAAAACAAUAUUGUUAUCUACCAAUGGAUCAGCAGUUCCAUCUAAAGAAUUCAAAGAUAACUUAAAUAUUAGUACACCUAAUUCACAAAAUAUUAAAAGGCGAUCCCGGUCUAGACGGAAUCAGAAGUCAAAAGACCAUUUCAAAAAUGAAUCCGUUACUGACAAAGUAGUAUUAAAAACUUCUAAAUUUGAAAACAUUAUAAUUAAUCAAAGUAUAAAUACAAAUUUAUCAAUAAAACCGAAAAUUAUUGUGUCAGAUACAAAAAAUCAACAUAAUUGUUGUACAAAUGCUGAAUUUCAAAAUGCACAUCAACCAUUAGCAAAGCCUGAUGUAGAAACCUGUACCCAAACCGACACAGUAGUAGAUGAUUUGUAUGCUAUUUUAAAUCAGAAACUUUUAAAUUCUGACACUGUAAUACCUUUAAACACUAUUGGCACCCUUUCUAAAGCUCAGUUACCCUUAGCUAAUGUGUCUGAUACUGAAUAUUCAAACUGUUGCUUUGAUUUAAAUGAACAACUGAAGGGAAUAUUUGGUUCAGUUGACCAGAAACACUACAAACAUCAUAUUUUUGAUCGACCACGUUCCAAAUCUGACACUCGCGAUCUCAAUAAACUCACACAGAUAUUUAAUAGCCAAAAUACUAAUGGAAAAUACACGUGCUGUUUCGAACGUAGUGCUGAAUCAGUAAAAAAUAUUUCCAGUAGGGACUUUACUUCCGGUAGACGUUCUUUUGAUAAAAUUUUAUCCCCUUUUGGAAAUGUACAAAUGGCAAGUUCAGAUGGAACUAACAAUGAAAGCAAAAAAACCGUAAGAUUAAGUGUGGAAAUUUAAUGUUUUAUAAUUGUAUUGUUUUUAAAAGUAAAUUUAAUGUUUUUUGUGAUUUGAUUAAUAUUUGAUUAGUAUUUUGUUACUUAAUUUGUUAAAAACAUUUUUGGAUUUAUUAUAUUUGUCAUGUACAGAGAAAUUUUUAAAUUUUUGAUUAUAAUUCAAUAGGAAUGAUAGGUACCUAUUCUAAAGAAUUGAUUUUAAAUAUUAUAAAAAGAGUACAGAGAAAACAAAUAAAUAUAUUGUAGACCUAUUUUUAGUCAAAUUCUGAAACUUUAUCUCUAUUCAAAGUAAUUUUUAGAAUACAAUGAUAAAAAAAUAAUAAAUCUUAAAAUGUAUCUACAAAAGUUUAAUUAAAACAAAUCGCACUAACAAUAAUUAUUAUUGUAAAUGUGUUUGUAGUGUAUCAUAUAACAACUAACACAUGAUGGGUGAUUCAAUAAUUUGUUAUCUGUUAACAUAAUAUUAUUUGUUAUUAAGUACAGAGUUAUUGAAAAUAUUUUUUUUUCCAGAGUAUAAAAUCAAAUUUACAAGCACUGGGUGAUGAGAGUAUCCCAUUAGAAUUAGCUAUUAAACCAUUUUUAACAUAUGAUGAAGGACAUAUUGCAAUACAAGAAUUAAAUUCAACACAAACAAUGAUUUCUUCCUUAGUUAAUAGCAAUGAUAAUCAAUCAAAAACCGAAGCAAUAAAAGACCUUACAACAAAUGUUCAACAAUUUGAUAAUAUUUUAUUAGAAUUUGAAGAUGAAGAUAAAGAUGAAUUUGUAAGUUAAAAAUUAUAAACUCGCAUAAAAUUUAAUGCCAAGUUUAUAUAUAUUUUUUUUAUUAAAGGAAAAAUUAUACAAUAUAAGUAUCAAUAUCAAUAAAUUAAAAAAGAUUAUAACUCAAUUCACAAUUUAUGAAGAAAUAGAAGAAUUUAAAGUUUUAAUUAAUCAACUUAAAAUCAUAAUGAAACAAUUUGAAAAUAAAAAUAAAAUUAUUACUCAGGUAUACCAUCAGUUUGCAUUAAAUUACAUUAUAAGCAAUACCUAUAUUUCUUGUAGAAAGAGAAAUAAUUUUAAUGUAUUCAUAUUUGAAAUACACAUAAUUUUUAAUGGAAUUGUUUUUAGAUUAUAUCAAUUGUUAUAUUUAUGAGACUUGUUAAUUUAUAUACUGUUUCAAAUUAAUUUUUCAGCGAACAUUAAAUUAUACAGAUGAUACUAUAAGCUAUUAUGAAAAUUUGUUAUUAAUUUUUAAAGAUAGUGGUUUAAAAAAUGAGGUAAAUAUAUUUUUUUUAUAUAUAUUUCACAAUUCCUUUAUAAUUUUUUGUUAUAUAGGUAUUGUAAUUGUUUUAUACAUUUUUUAGAAUAAUAUAGAAGAAAACAUUUUUGAAUUAAAAAAUAAACUUCAUGAAUUGGAAAUGUACCAAGAAAAUAUUGAAUUCGAAACACGCAUUUUAAAACUAAAACAUAUAAUUGAAAAACUUGAAAUUAUAAAUUGUGAAAUUUCAACAAUGAAACAGGUAUGUUUGCACGUUUAUAAUAAUAUUAUAAUAUCACAUA
RNAcentral lists this long non-coding RNA (5914 nucleotides) under Cinara cedri. The record is from RNAcentral. Lineage: Eukaryota; Metazoa; Arthropoda; Insecta; Hemiptera; Aphididae.